Molecule: unclassified non-coding RNA, 175 nt
Filed under: uncultured Xylariales
Lineage: Eukaryota; Fungi; Ascomycota; Sordariomycetes; Xylariales
Description: sequence contains ITS1
Source: RNAcentral
CUGAGUUAUCUAAAAACUCCCAACCCUUUGUGCACUUACCACUGUUGCCUCGGCGAGCCGCGCUGUGGAAUAGGCUAUGUAGUAGCUACACACGGCGCACUAUAGGCUCGUCAAAGGACCAAACAAACACUGUCAUAUUUUUGUAUCUCUGAAUCGUAUAUAACAAAAUACGUUA